RNAcentral lists this non-coding RNA (30 nucleotides) under Homo sapiens (human). The record is from RNAcentral. Lineage: Eukaryota; Metazoa; Chordata; Mammalia; Primates; Hominidae.
UAUGCAGCUCACCAUAGCAACAGAGCCUAC